Haliotis rufescens (red abalone) is the source of this 934-nucleotide long non-coding RNA. RefSeq lists it as uncharacterized. NCBI's taxonomy places the organism in Eukaryota, Metazoa, Mollusca, Gastropoda, Lepetellida, Haliotidae. The record is from RefSeq and is a predicted model, not a curated record. The transcript has 4 exons.
UCUGUUUGUUACAUGUCUGUGCAUACCUCCAAUCUGUAGGCUGUAUUCCACAUUCAGUUCAAUAUUAAUGUACGAUUUUAACAGAAUGUAACAGGUACCUUUGUACUUUAACAGAUUUCAAUAAAAAAAAAAUUGAAAAAAAAAAAAAAUUAAUACAAAUGUACAAUUAAUUUGACAAGUGUCGGACGUAACAAUGUCUGUCCUCGAUGGGUGGUGAACAAAAACAUCAUUUUGUAACGAAUUGUGAAACCACAGAAAGUUACUUCGGAAGCAGAAUGAAAGUUGGUGAUCAAUGUAUGUUAAACCUAAACAUGAAAUCAAAACAGGUUUACAACCACAGAAAAUAAAUGCAAAUCAUAAACGUCUAUAGAAAACUCUGUCCCACUGUUACGGGCGAAUUGUCGAUCAUAAUUUCACUUUUCUGAUCGCUACACGUCAUCUGGUUUAUAUUCCGUCAUCGGAUUUGCCAAGUUCCGGUUGGUUUCCACAUGAUACGAAUUACAUGAUUGCCGAAAUUUGGUCAGCAGCAGAGAUGGCGCCAAAGAAGAAGGAUGCUUCCACGUCUGUCUCGAAUGGUGAGAGGUGUAGGCGAUGGGAGGCAGCUGAAAAAAGGUGACCAAGACUACAUCGAACAGGAACGAAAGCGAAAAGCUGAUUAUAGGGGUCGGAUGAAUCCUGAACAAGUUGACAGGUGGAUGAUUGGCCAUGGGUGACUUUUUUCACUAAAGUGAAACAAAGAUGGCUGGCAAAGGACAUCCACCACACUGUCAUGUUCGAAGACGUCAGAAUAGCAAUUGAUUGGACAUUAUUUGAGGAGAUGACUAACGCCCUGUCCACCUUUAGAAUGGACUACGAGAUCAAGAACCAAGAGGACACCAAUAACCAGUUUCUGAAUAAACAUAAAAAGGAGUAUGGCAAAAAUGAUUUUGGUCAU